GACGGAGGGUGCAAGCGUUGUUCGGAUUGACUGGGCGUAAAGGGCGUGUAGGCGGUUGGUCAAGUCUGAUGUGAAAGCCCGGAGCUCAGCUCCGGAAGGGCAUCGGAAACUAGCCAGCUGGAGCGCGAUAGAGGAGGGCGGAAUUCCUGGUGUAGCGGUGAAAUGCGUAGAGAUGUGGAGGAACACCAGUGGCGAAGGCGGCUUUCUGGUCUGUAACUGACGCUGAGGCGCGAAAGCGUGGGGAGCGAACAGG
RNAcentral lists this ribosomal RNA (253 nucleotides) under uncultured bacterium. Its description in RNAcentral is "partial 16S ribosomal RNA". It matches the Rfam family "Bacterial small subunit ribosomal RNA", at positions 524 to 776 of the family's 1533-position model. The record is from RNAcentral.